Molecule: ribosomal RNA, 497 nt
Filed under: uncultured bacterium
Lineage: Bacteria
Description: partial 16S ribosomal RNA
Rfam family: Bacterial small subunit ribosomal RNA
Source: RNAcentral
ACUCAAAUGAAUAGACGGGGGCCCGCACAAGCGGCGGAGCAUGUUGCUUAAUUCGAUGCAACGCGAAGAACCUUACCUAGGUUGAACUACGCAGGAAAAGCUGCAGAGAUGCAGUGUCCGAAAGGGUCUGCGAUAGGUGGUGCAUGGCUGUCGUCAGCUCGUGUCGUGAGAUGUUGGGUUAAGUCCCGCAACGAGCGCAACCCUUAUUCUAUGUUGCCAGCGGAUAAUGCCGGGGACUCGUAGAAGACUGCCGGGGUCAACUCGGAGGAAGGUGGGGAUGACGUCAAGUCAUCAUGCCCCUUAUGCCUAGGGCUGCAAACAUGCUACAAUGGCCAGUACAAAGGGCUGCUAUCCCGCGAGGGUGAGCGAAUCCCAUAAAGCUGGUCUCAGUUCGGAUUGGAGUCUGCAACUCGACUCCAUGAAGUCGGAGUCGCUAGUAAUCCCGGAUCAGCAACGCCGGGGUGAAUACGUUCCCGGGCCUUGCACACACCGCCCGU